This 577-nucleotide ribosomal RNA is filed under the name Trichoderma harzianum. RNAcentral's name for it is "partial large subunit ribosomal RNA". It matches the Rfam family "Eukaryotic large subunit ribosomal RNA", at positions 67 to 669 of the family's 3401-position model. The record is from RNAcentral. Lineage: Eukaryota; Fungi; Ascomycota; Sordariomycetes; Hypocreales; Hypocreaceae.
CCCUUGCCAUGCCCCAGUACGGCGAGUGAGCGGCAACAGCUCAAAUUUGAAAUCUGGUCCCUAGGGCCCGAGUUGUAAUUUGUAGAGGAUGCUUUUGGUGAGGUGCCGCCCGAGUUCCCUGGAACGGGACGCCACAGAGGGUGAGAGCCCCGUCUGGCUGGCCGCCGAGCCUCUGUAAAGCUCCUUCGACGAGUCGAGUAGUUUGGGAAUGCUGCUCAAAAUGGGAGGUAUAUGUCUUCUAAAGCUAAAUAUUGGCCAGAGACCGAUAGCGCACAAGUAGAGUGAUCGAAAGAUGAAAAGCACCUUGAAAAGAGGGUUAAAUAGUACGUGAAAUUGUUGAAAGGGAAGCGCUUGUGACCAGACUUGGGCGCGGCGGAUCAUCCGGGGUUCUCUCCGGUGCACUUCGCCGCGUCUAGGCCAGCAUCAGUUCGUCGCGGGGGAAAAAGGCUUCGGGAACGUGGCUCCUCCGGGAGUGUUAUAGCCCGUUGCAUAAUACCCUGCGGUGGACUGAGGACCGCGCAUCUGCAAGGAUGCUGGCGUAAUGGUCACCAGCGACCCGUCUUGAAACACGGACCCA